Molecule: non-coding RNA, 527 nt
Organism: Misgurnus anguillicaudatus (oriental weatherfish)
Lineage: Eukaryota; Metazoa; Chordata; Actinopteri; Cypriniformes; Cobitidae
Source: the annotation of a RefSeq genome assembly
CAUUUUGUGGAUUUAGUGUUCAUACUUUAAUCAUGUAAAAAGGUGAGUUCAUUGACUCUGUGUAUGCAAAUUUUCUAUAUAUAUGUAAAACAGUGGGCAUGAGUCAGUUUAUGUAUUUUUCUCUGAUCACUAUAGGCAGUGACAAACAGCUUCAGGUCAUUUACACUUUAAAGUGCAUCAUGUUCACUGAAGCUUUACUGCUGCUUCUGGCAAGUCUAAACUGUAUUCAUUCAUAUGAACUCUCUCAGCCUGAGUUUCUGACUGUUCGUCCUGAUGGCUCUCUAACUAUCGACUGUAAAGUCUCUUAUUCAGUUACUAGCUAUAGUACAGGCUGGAUCCGUCAACCUGCAGGAAAACCUCUGGAGUGGAUUGGGUUGAUAUAUUAUGAUGGAGACUUAGCCUACAAGGAUUCACUAAAAAAUAAGUUCAGCAUCAGCAGAGACACCUUCAGUAAUACGAUAACAUUGAAAGGAAACAAUAUUCAAGCUCAAGACACAGCUGUGUAUUAUUGCCAAAUAUCACAGUGA